UGUGAAUAUAUCUCUCUCCAGAGCCAGGUCCUCACUGUAGAUACUUCCUCCAGACCCCUCAGUUUGUGUAGGAGUGAUGUCCAUCAGCAUUUCCUCACAAGUUCAAUCACAGAGAUAGCACUGAAUCACUAUAAAACCAAAUCAGCCAGGACACACAUCUGCCUGUGAAAGAAUGUCAUUUGUCUAUGAAGCCUCGCUGCUUUCUGCAAGCUGUUUUAAAAGGGAAAGAAUUGUAAAAGCAGACAUUCAUCUUGAUAUUUAAGCUAUCUCUAGAAGUGAAGGUGGAAAAAAAGCUACAGAAGAAGAGUAGUGGAAAAAAUCUGUAAUGUAGUUAGCCAAAACUGUACAAAGAUAUCCUGCAGAAGGAGGAAAAGUAAGUUUAAUCUGAACCCAAGAUGUAGUGCAUGCCUUCACAUAGGCAGAAUGCUA
Long non-coding RNA from Oxyura jamaicensis (ruddy duck), 429 nucleotides. RefSeq lists it as uncharacterized. NCBI's taxonomy places the organism in Eukaryota, Metazoa, Chordata, Aves, Anseriformes, Anatidae. The record is from RefSeq and is a predicted model, not a curated record. The transcript has 3 exons.